UACGUAGGGUGCGAGCGUUGUCCGGAAUUACUGGGCGUAAAGGGUGCGCAGGCGGUUUUGCAAGUCAGGCGUGAAAUCCCCGGGCUUAACCUGGGAAUGGCGCUUGAAACUACGGGACUGGAGUAUGGCAGAGGGAGGUGGAAUUCCACGUGUAGCGGUGAAAUGCGUAGAGAUGUGGAGGAACACCGAUGGCGAAGGCAGCCUCCUGGGCCAAUACUGACGCUCAUGCACGAAAGCGUGGGGAGCAAACAGG
RNAcentral lists this ribosomal RNA (253 nucleotides) under uncultured bacterium. RNAcentral's name for it is "partial 16S ribosomal RNA". It matches the Rfam family "Bacterial small subunit ribosomal RNA", at positions 524 to 776 of the family's 1533-position model. The record is from RNAcentral.